Phlebotomus papatasi is the source of this 2653-nucleotide long non-coding RNA. RefSeq lists it as uncharacterized. Lineage: Eukaryota; Metazoa; Arthropoda; Insecta; Diptera; Psychodidae. The record is from RefSeq and is a predicted model, not a curated record. The transcript has 2 exons.
UAUCCACAGCAUUCUUCUGAACAGGGAAUUCUCUUGCUUUAUGCUCAUCCCUCUUCCAGAACUGGACAGAUUCUAAGACCAUCCACAUGAUGACUAUCACCAGAACUAUUUCGGACAGAGAAUUUUUCAUCAGGUUUGGUGGUUUUUCUUAAAGGAAUAGUUUUUGUUUCAUGCUUUGAGCUUUUAAAUUACGUUCGCCAAAUUCACUAUAUUUUGGUUUAAGGUAAAUUUUCUUGCUAAGUAGGGUAGAAUGUAUUCCACAGAUUUUAAUAUGAAUUUUCAUUAAAAAAAAGCACAUUUUGAAAAAUUUUUGAAGAACUUAUUGCGGAAAUGAUCUUGUCUUUUUACUAGUUAUUGAAAAUCAGAAAAUAAUCUAGAUGAGGAAAUGGAUUAAUGGGGAAUUUUAAACGUCCUUUAUCAUGGAAAGUAUUGUAUUACAGAACAAAUUUUGUCAAAGUCAAAUUUGGUCAGCAAAAAAUUCGAAAUGAUCAAUAAAAAAUAAAAAAAAAAUGGUCAGUAAAAAAUAAAAAAAGGGCAGCAAAAAGUUUAAGAAGAUCAGUAAAAAAUUAAAAAAGAGCAGUACUUUAUUAAAAGCGGUCAGUAAAAAAUGAAAAGUGGUCAGCAAAAAAUUAAACAUGAUCAGUAAAAAGUAAAAGAUGAUCAGUAAAAAACAAAAAGUGGUCAGUAAAAAAUAAAAAGUGGUCAGCAAAAAAUUAAAAAUGAUCAGUAAAAAUAUUUAAAAAAGCUGCAAAAAAUUAAAAAUGAGCAGUAAAAAAUACAAAGUGGUCAGCAGAAAAUUUAAAACGAGCAGUAGAAAUAUUCGAGAUGAUCAGUAAAAAGUUAAAAAGUGAUCAGCAGAGAAUUAAAAAUGAGCAGCAAAAAAUAAAAAAUGGUCAGUAAAAAACAAAAAGUGAUCAGCAAAAAAUUAGAAAGUGAUCAGUGAAAAAUAAAAUAUGGUCAGUAAAAAAUUAAAAAUGAGCAGUAAAAAAAAAUUUGAUCAGUGGAAAAUCAAAAGUGGUCAGCAAAAAAUAAAAAGUGGUUAGCAAAACAUUAAAAGUGGUCAGCAAAAAAUUAAAAGUGAUCAGUGAAAAAUAAAAUAUUGUCAGUAAAAAAUUAAAAAUGAGCAGUAAAAAAUAAAAUUUGAUCAGUAGAAAAUCAAAAGUGGUCGGCAAAAAAUAAAAAGUGGUCAGUAAAAAAUAAAAAGUGAUCAGCAAAAAAUUAAGAGUGAUCAGUGAAAAACAAAAUAUGGUCAGUAAAAAAAUUAAAAUUGAGCAGUGAAAAAUAAAAUUGGAUCAGUAGAAAAUAAAAUGUUAUCAAUAAAAAAUAAAAAGUGGCCAGUAAAAAAUUAAAAAUGGUCAGUAAAAAAUUGAAAAAUGAUCAGUAAAAAAUAAAAUUUGAUCAGUAAAAAAUAAAAAGUGAUCAGUAAAAAUAAAAAGUGGUCAGUUAAAAAUUUAAAAUGGGCAGUAGAAAAUAAUAUUUGAUUAGUAGAAAAUGAAGUGGUCAGUAAAAAGUUCAAUAAAAAACAAGAAGUGGUCAACAAGAAAUUUAAAAUAUUCAAUAAAGUAAAAAACUGGUCAGCAAAAAUUAAAAAUGUACAGUUAAAAAUAAAAUGUGGUCAGAAAAAAUAAAAAAUGGACAAUAAAAAAUAAAAAAGUGAUCAGUAAAAAUUUAAAAAUGAGCAGUAAUUUUCUUCAUUUUCCAGUGAAAUUUCGCACAUCUUGAGCCUAACGGAGACUUUAAUAGGGUGUAAAUUAUGAGGCCUCUAUAUCUCUCAUAGUUUCCAAGGGUUUGCGGAGUCUUUGUUUUUUCCAUUUUGUUUUUCCAAUUUGUCUUUGGAAUCUUUUUCUUCGGUAACCCUUGUUUUUUGGAAACUUUUUCUAUGGAAAUCUUGUCUUUUAUAAAUUUUAAACAAAUAUAUUUUAUUAAAUAAAAUAAUGAUAUUACAAUGGUGUUCUUUGAAGUUUUUAGUUUCGUCCUUCAGGAUAAAGGAAAAUUUUCUGUGUUUUGGGAAAUUUUUAGUUUCGUCAUUUAGGGCAAAGAGAAUUUCUGUAUUUCGGGAAAUUUUUAGUCUCGUCCUUUGGGAAAAGGGUGUUUUGGGAUGUUAAAAGUAUCGCCUAUCAGGACGAAAGGAAAUUUUCUGUUUUUGGGAGAUUUUUAGUUUCGGCCUUCAGGGCAAAGGGAAAUUUUCUGUUUUGCGAAAUUUUUAGUUUCGUCAUUUUGGGCAAAGGAAAAUUUUCUGUGUUUUGGGAACUUAUCAGUAUCGUCUGCCGGGGCAAAGGGAAAUUUUCUGUGUUUUAGGAAAUUAUCAAUAUCGUUUGUCGGCGCAAAAGGAAAUUUUCUGUUUUUUGGAGGUUUUUAGUUUCGUACUUUGGGGCAAAGGGAAAUUCUCUAUGGUUUGAGAAGUUUUAAGUUUCGUCCUUUGGGGCAAAUGGAAAUUUUUUGAGAAAAAGGAAAUUUUUGGAAAGGUAUAAAAUAUACUUGUGCAAAAUGUGUUACAGACAGUAUUUAUGAAAAUUGUGAAAAAUGUAUGAAAUACAAGAUUUCCAAAGACAAAGUUUUUAAAAACAAAAGUUACGGAAGACAAAGAUUCCAAAGAAAAAACCGGGAAAAACAAAAGUGUAAAAAACAAAAUGGAAAAAACGAAGAUUCCCGA